Molecule: small nuclear RNA, 105 nt
Organism: Cricetulus griseus (Chinese hamster)
Lineage: Eukaryota; Metazoa; Chordata; Mammalia; Rodentia; Cricetidae
Source: Ensembl
GUGGUUGUUUUGAUACCACACAUACUAAAAUUGGAGUAGUACACAGAUUAACCUGACCCUUUUGUAAGGAUGAUAUGCAAAUUUAUAGAGUAUUUGAAAUAAAAU